This 483-nucleotide ribosomal RNA is filed under the name uncultured bacterium. Its description in RNAcentral is "bacterial SSU rRNA". It matches the Rfam family "Bacterial small subunit ribosomal RNA", at positions 29 to 507 of the family's 1533-position model. The record is from RNAcentral.
ACGAACGCUGGCGGCGUGCCUAACACAUGCAAGUCGAACGGAGAUGCUGAUGAGGAGACUUCGGUCAACGAGUUAGUAUUCUUAGUGGCGGACGGGUGAGUAACGCGUGAGCAAUCUGCCUUCCANAGGGGGGAUAACGUUCUGAAAAGAACGCUAAUACCGCAUAACGUAUGAUGGUGGCAUCACCGACAUACCAAAGGAGCAAUCCGCUGAGAGAUGAGCUCGCGUCUGAUUAGAUAGUUGGUGGGGUAACGGCCUACCAAGUCGACGAUCAGUAGCCGGACUGAGAGGUUGAACGGCCACAUUGGGACUGAGACACGGCCCAGACUCCUACGGGAGGCAGCAGUGGGGAAUAUUGCACAAUGGGCGAAAGCCUGAUGCAGCAACGCCGCGUGAGGGAAGACGGUCUUCGGAUUGUAAACCUCUGUCCUUGGUGACGAACAAAUGACGGUAGCCUUGGAGGAAGCCACGGCUAACUACGUG